GACGAACGCUGGCGGCGUGCUUAACACAUGCAAGUCGAGCGGUAAGGCCCGUUUCGGGGGUACACGAGCGGCGAACGGGUGAGUAACACGUGGGUGACCUGCCCUCAGCCUCUGGGGAUAACGCCUGGGAAACCGGGUCUAAUACUGGAUAUGACUCCAUGACGCAUGUUGUGGGGUGGAAAGCCUUGUGCGGCUGAGGAUGGGCCCGCGGCCUAUCAGCUUGGUUGGUGGGGUGANGGCCUACCAAGGCGACGACGGGUAGCCGGCCUGAGAGGGCGACCGGCCACACUGGGACUGAGGACACGGGCCCAGGACCUCCUACGGGAGGCGAGCAGUGGGGAAUCUUGCGCAAUGGGCGAAAGCCUGACGCAGCGACGCCGCGUGAGGGAUGACGGUCCU
RNAcentral lists this ribosomal RNA (399 nucleotides) under uncultured bacterium. RNAcentral's name for it is "bacterial SSU rRNA". It matches the Rfam family "Bacterial small subunit ribosomal RNA", at positions 28 to 418 of the family's 1533-position model. The record is from RNAcentral.